GGUGACAUAGCUCAGUUGGUAGAGCAUCGGACUGAAAAUCCGUGUGUCCCUGGUUCGAAUCCAGGUGUCACCA
This 73-nucleotide transfer RNA is filed under the name Microscilla marina ATCC 23134. It matches the Rfam family "tRNA". From Rfam's summary of the family: Transfer RNA (tRNA) molecules are approximately 80 nucleotides in length. Their secondary structure includes four short double-helical elements and three loops (D, anti-codon, and T loops). Lineage: Bacteria; Pseudomonadati; Bacteroidota; Cytophagia; Cytophagales; Microscillaceae. The record is from Rfam by way of RNAcentral.